This 75-nucleotide transfer RNA is filed under the name Calditrichaceae bacterium. RNAcentral's name for it is "tRNA-Pro". It matches the Rfam family "tRNA". From Rfam's summary of the family: Transfer RNA (tRNA) molecules are approximately 80 nucleotides in length. Their secondary structure includes four short double-helical elements and three loops (D, anti-codon, and T loops). Lineage: Bacteria; Pseudomonadati; Calditrichota; Calditrichia; Calditrichales; Calditrichaceae. The record is from RNAcentral.
CGGAGCGUGGCGCAGUCCGGGUAGCGCACUUGAAUGGGGUUCAAGGGGUCGCUGGUUCGAAUCCAGUCGCUCCGA